Molecule: ribosomal RNA, 1394 nt
Filed under: uncultured Lactobacillus sp.
Lineage: Bacteria; Bacillati; Bacillota; Bacilli; Lactobacillales; Lactobacillaceae
Description: bacterial SSU rRNA
Rfam family: Bacterial small subunit ribosomal RNA
Source: RNAcentral
UUGAUCCUGGCUCAGGACGAACGCUGGCGGCAUGCCUAAUACAUGCAAGUCGAACGAACUCUGGUAUUGAUUGGUGCUUGCAUCAUGAUUUACAUUUGAGUGAGUGGCGAACUGGUGAGUAACACGUGGGAAACCUGCCCAGAAGCGGGGGAUAACACCUGGAAACAGAUGCUAAUACCGCAUAACAACUUGGACCGCAUGGUCCGAGUUUGAAAGAUGGCUUCGGCUAUCACUUCUGGAUGGUCCCGCGGCGUAUUAGCUAGAUGGUGAGGUAACGGCUCACCAUGGCAAUGAUACGUAGCCGACCUGAGAGGGUAAUCGGCCACAUUGGGACUGAGACACGGCCCAAACUCCUACGGGAGGCAGCAGUAGGGAAUCUUCCACAAUGGACGAAAGUCUGAUGGAGCAACGCCGCGUGAGUGAAGAAGGGUUUCGGCUCGUAAAACUCUGUUGUUAAAGAAGAACAUAUCUGAGAGUAACUGUUCAGGUAUUGACGGUAUUUAACCAGAAAGCCACGGCUAACUACGUGCCAGCAGCCGCGGUAAUACGUAGGUGGCAAGCGUUGUCCGGAUUUAUUGGGCGUAAAGCGAGCGCAGGCGGUUUUUUAAGUCUGAUGUGAAAGCCUUCGGCUCAACCGAAGAAGUGCAUCGGAAACUGGGAAACUUGAGUGCAGAAGAGGACAGUGGAACUCCAUGUGUAGCGGUGAAAUGCGUAGAUAUAUGGAAGAACACCAGUGGCGAAGGCGGCUGUCUGGUCUGUAACUGACGCUGAGGCUCGAAAGUAUGGGUAGCAAACAGGAUUAGAUACCCUGGUAGUCCAUACCGUAAACGAUGAAUGCUAAGUGUUGGAGGGUUUCCGCCCUUCAGUGCUGCAGCUAACGCAUUAAGCAUUCCGCCUGGGGAGUACGGCCGCAAGGCUGAAACUCAAAGGAAUUGACGGGGGCCCGCACAAGCGGUGGAGCAUGUGGUUUAAUUCGAAGCUACGCGAAGAACCUUACCAGGUCUUGACAUACUAUGCAAAUCUAAGAGAUUAGACGUUCCCUUCGGGGACAUGGAUACAGGUGGUGCAUGGUUGUCGUCAGCUCGUGUCGUGAGAUGUUGGGUUAAGUCCCGCAACGAGCGCAACCCUUAUUAUCAGUUGCCAGCAUUAAGUUGGGCACUCUGGUGAGACUGCCGGUGACAAACCGGAGGAAGGUGGGGAUGACGUCAAAUCAUCAUGCCCCUUAUGACCUGGGCUACACACGUGCUACAAUGGAUGGUACAACGAGUUGCGAACUCGCGAGAGUAAGCUAAUCUCUUAAAGCCAUUCUCAGUUCGGAUUGUAGGCUGCAACUCGCCUACAUGAAGUCGGAAUCGCUAGUAAUCGCGGAUCAGCAUGCCGCGGUGAAUACGUUC